UCGAGAAUUUUUCACAAUGGACGAAAGUCUGAUGGAGCGACGCCGCGUGGAGGAUGAAGGUUUUCGGAUUGUAAACUCCUGUCACUGCAGAACAAGGAUGUGCGUAUGAACAGUACGUGCAUUUGAUGGUAUGCGGAGAGGAAGGGACGGCUAACUCUGUGCCAGCAGCCGCGGUAAGACAGAGGUCCCGAGCGUUGUUCGGAUUCAUUGGGCGUAAAGGGUGUGUAGGAGGUCGGGUAAGUCAGGUGUGAAAUCUCAGAGCUUAACUCUGAAACUGCGCUUGAUACUGCUCGGCUAGAGGAUCGGAGGGGGUAACGGAAUUUAUGGUGUAGCAGUGAAAUGCGUAGAUAUCAUAAGGAACACCGGUGGCGAAGGCGGUUACCUGGAAGAUUCCUGACUCUGAAACACGAAAGCCAGGGGAGCAAACGGGAUUAGAUACCCCCGUAGUCC
Molecule: ribosomal RNA, 450 nt
Filed under: uncultured bacterium
Lineage: Bacteria
Description: bacterial SSU rRNA
Rfam family: Bacterial small subunit ribosomal RNA
Source: RNAcentral